RNAcentral lists this ribosomal RNA (2536 nucleotides) under uncultured Eubacteriales bacterium. Its description in RNAcentral is "uncultured Clostridiales bacterium partial contains 16S ribosomal RNA, 16S-23S ribosomal RNA intergenic spacer, and 23S ribosomal RNA". The stretch from base 1 to 1504 matches the Rfam family "Bacterial small subunit ribosomal RNA". Lineage: Bacteria; Bacillati; Bacillota; Clostridia; Eubacteriales. The record is from RNAcentral.
GAUGAACGCUGGCGGCGUGCUUAACACAUGCAAGUCGAACGGGGCACCCCUGAAGGAGUUUUCGGACAACUGAAGGGAAUGCUUAGUGGCGGACGGGUGAGUAACGCGUGAGUAACCUGCCUUGGAGUGGGGAAUAACAGUUGGAAACAGCUGCUAAUACCGCAUGAUGCAGUUGAGUCGCAUGGCUCUGACUGCCAAAGAUUUAUCGCUCUGAGAUGGACUCGCGUCUGAUUAGCUAGUUGGCGGGGUAACGGCCCACCAAGGCGACGAUCAGUAGCCGGACUGAGAGGUUGGCCGGCCACAUUGGGACUGAGACACGGCCCAGACUCCUACGGGAGGCAGCAGUGGGGAAUAUUGGGCAAUGGGCGCAAGCCUGACCCAGCAACGCCGCGUGAAGGAAGAAGGCUUUCGGGUUGUAAACUUCUUUUCUCAGGGACGAAGAAAGUGACGGUACCUGAGGAAUAAGCCACGGCUAACUACGUGCCAGCAGCCGCGGUAAUACGUAGGUGGCAAGCGUUAUCCGGAUUUACUGGGUGUAAAGGGCGUGUAGGCGGGAGUGCAAGUCAGAUGUGAAAACCACGGGCUCAACCUGUGGCCUGCAUUUGAAACUGUACUUCUUGAGUACUGGAGAGGCAGACGGAAUUCCUAGUGUAGCGGUGAAAUGCGUAGAUAUUAGGAGGAACACCAGUGGCGAAGGCGGUCUGCUGGACAGCAACUGACGCUGAGGCGCGAAAGCGUGGGGAGCAAACAGGAUUAGAUACCCUGGUAGUCCACGCUGUAAACGAUGGAUACUAGGUGUGGGGGGACUGACCCCCUCCGUGCCGCAGUUAACACAAUAAGUAUCCCACCUGGGGAGUACGAUCGCAAGGUUGAAACUCAAAGGAAUUGACGGGGGCCCGCACAAGCGGUGGAGUAUGUGGUUUAAUUCGAAGCAACGCGAAGAACCUUACCAGGGCUUGACAUCCCGAGGCCAGACCUAGAGAUAGGUCCUUCUCUUCGGAGACCUCGGUGACAGGUGGUGCAUGGUUGUCGUCAGCUCGUGUCGUGAGAUGUUGGGUUAAGUCCCGCAACGAGCGCAACCCUUAUUGUUAGUUGCUACGCAAGAGCACUCUAGCGAGACUGCCGUUGACAAAACGGAGGAAGGUGGGGACGACGUCAAAUCAUCAUGCCCCUUAUGUCCUGGGCCACACACGUACUACAAUGGUGGUCAACAGAGGGAAGCAAAACCGCGAGGUGGAGCAAAUCCCUAAAAGCCAUCCCAGUUCGGAUCGCAGGCUGCAACCCGCCUGCGUGAAGUUGGAAUCGCUAGUAAUCGCGGAUCAGCAUGCCGCGGUGAAUACGUUCCCGGGCCUUGUACACACCGCCCGUCACACCAUGAGAGUCGGGAACACCCGAAGUCCGUAGCCUAACCGCAAGGGGGGCGCGGCCGAAGGUGGGUUCGAUAAUUGGGGUGAAGUCGUAACAAGGUAGCCGUAUCGGAAGGUGCGGCUGGAUCACCUCCUUUCUAAGGAGAACUCAGUUACUGAGUAAGUAGCUGUAAGAUUCCUAGGUCAGACUUCUGAGCAGAGUGAAGAGUUACGUUGUUUAAUUUAGAGGGCGCACGCCAAAGGAAGCGGGAGGGAAAGUGGACGCUCAACGGGGGUUUAGCUCAGCUGGUAGAGCACCUGCUUUGCAAGCAGGGGGUCACCGGUUCGAGUCCGGUAACCUCCACCACAGGGGCCCAUAGCUCAGCUGGCUAGAGCGCACGACUGAUAAUCGUGAGGUCGGUGGUUCGAGUCCACUUGGGCCCACCACUUCUAUUCGAGAGUGGAUUGAAGUGUUUGGACAACAGUCUGAGCAUUUCAAUCUGACCUUGAAGAGGUUGGAGUUUGCACCUUGAAAACUGAACAGUGAAGCAAGCAAGAAAUUGCGAGCAAGCAACAGAGAGGUAACAAAGUUAAGAAAAUUGUGGACUUUUAAAAUAAGGGUAACACAAACUACAAUGUAACCAAAUCUGAGGCCUGCAUAAUUCUUGUGAGAACCAAAUAUCUCGAAAGAGAUGAUAGGUCAAGCUAAAAAGAGCGCAAGGGGAAUGCCUUGGCAUCAAGAGCCGAAGAAGGACGUGACAAGCUGCGAUAAGCCAUGGGGAGCCGCACAUAGGCGUUAUAUCCAUGGAUUUCCGAAUGGGGAAACCCGGCAGAGCAAUACUCUGUCAGCCUGCGUUGAAUAAAAUAGGCGUAGGUAGGGAACCGCCUGAACUGAAACAUCUAAGUAGGGCGAGGAAGAGAAAUCAACAGAGAUUCCGCUAGUAGUGGCGAGCGAACGCGGAAGAGGGCAAACCGGAGGAUUUAUCCUCCGGGGUUGUGGACUGACACAACGGGUCGAUAGGUUAGGCGAACGGUAUGGGAAGGCCGGCCAUAGCGGGUGAGAGCCCCGUAGCCGAAAGCUGAAUCGAUUUAGUCAGGAUCCAGAGUACCGCAGGACACGUGAAACCCUGUGGGAAACUGGGGGGACCACCCUCCAACCCUAAAUACUACUUGAUGACCGAUAGAGGAGC